GACGAACGCUGGCGGCGUGCUUAACACAUGCAAGUCGAACGGAAAGGCCCCUUUGGGGGUACUCGAGUGGCGAACGGGGGAGUAACACGUGAGUAACCUUCCCUUGACUUCUGGAUAACUUCAGGAAACUGGGGCUAAUACCGGAUAGGAAUCCUUGCUGCAUGGUGGGGGUUGGAAAGCUUCGGCGGUUUUGGAUGGACUCGCGGCUUAUCAGCUUGUUGGUGGGGUAGUGGCUUACCAAGGCUUUGACGGGUAGCCGGCCUGAGAGGGCGACCGGCCGCCUUGGGACUGAGAUAAGGCCCCGACUCCUACGGGAGGACGAAGUGGGGAAUCUUGCACAAUGGGCGGCAGCCUGAUGAAGCAACGCCGCGUGCGGGAUGACGGCCUUCGGGUUGUAAAACGCUUUCAGCAGGGGCGAAGCUUGUGGUGACGGUACCUGAAGAAGAAGCACCGGCUAACUACGUG
This 465-nucleotide ribosomal RNA is filed under the name uncultured bacterium. RNAcentral describes it as "partial 16S ribosomal RNA". It matches the Rfam family "Bacterial small subunit ribosomal RNA", at positions 28 to 507 of the family's 1533-position model. The record is from RNAcentral.